UACGUAGGGGGCAAGCGUUGUCCGGAAUCAUUGGGCGUAAAGCGCGUGUAGGCGGCUUGAUAAGUCCGCUCUGAAAGCCCGGGGCUCAACCCCGGGAGGCGGGUGGAUACUGUCAAGCUCGAGUCCGGAAGAGGCGAGUGGAAUUCCUGGUGUAGCGGUGAAAUGCGCAGAUAUCAGGAGGAACACCGGUGGCGAAGGCGGCGUUCUGGACUGCAACUGACACUGAGAAACGAAAGCCAGGGUAGCAAACGGG
This 253-nucleotide ribosomal RNA is filed under the name uncultured bacterium. RNAcentral describes it as "partial 16S ribosomal RNA". It matches the Rfam family "Bacterial small subunit ribosomal RNA", at positions 524 to 776 of the family's 1533-position model. The record is from RNAcentral.